This is a small nucleolar RNA of Arabis alpina (gray rockcress), 85 nucleotides long. It matches the Rfam family "small nucleolar RNA snoR114". NCBI's taxonomy places the organism in Eukaryota, Viridiplantae, Streptophyta, Magnoliopsida, Brassicales, Brassicaceae. The record is from Rfam.
GAGCUGUGAUGAGAUUGGCUUCAGCUAUGGUUGGGUCCAUAGUACUCAUCUGAUUUCUAGAUGAUCACGCCUCACUUCUGAGCUC